Molecule: transfer RNA, 71 nt
Organism: Phycomyces blakesleeanus NRRL 1555(-)
Lineage: Eukaryota; Fungi; Mucoromycota; Mucoromycetes; Mucorales; Phycomycetaceae
Rfam family: tRNA
About the family: Transfer RNA (tRNA) molecules are approximately 80 nucleotides in length. Their secondary structure includes four short double-helical elements and three loops (D, anti-codon, and T loops). Further hydrogen bonds mediate the characteristic L-shaped molecular structure. tRNAs have two regions of fundamental functional importance: the anti-codon, which is responsible for specific mRNA codon recognition, and the 3' end, to which the tRNAs corresponding amino acid is attached (by aminoacyl-tRNA synthetases). tRNAs cope with the degeneracy of the genetic code in two manners: having more than one tRNA (with a specific anti-codon) for a particular amino acid; and 'wobble' base-pairing, i.e. permitting non-standard base-pairing at the 3rd anti-codon position.
Source: Rfam
GCGUUAAUAGUUCAAUGGUAGAAUUUCAGCCUUCCAAGCUGAAGGUCGGGGUUCGAUUCCCCGUUGACGCA